This 96-nucleotide signal recognition particle RNA is filed under the name Holosporaceae bacterium. RNAcentral's name for it is "signal recognition particle sRNA small type". It matches the Rfam family "Bacterial small signal recognition particle RNA". From Rfam's summary of the family: The signal recognition particle (SRP) is a universally conserved ribonucleoprotein involved in the co-translational targeting of proteins to membranes. Archaeal SRP consists of a 7S RNA and homologues of the eukaryotic SRP19 and SRP54 proteins. Lineage: Bacteria; Pseudomonadati; Pseudomonadota; Alphaproteobacteria; Holosporales; Holosporaceae. The record is from RNAcentral.
CGUCGGGACGGUUGGGCGUUCAGGAUUGUGAAUUCGGUCAGGUUUGGAAAAAAGCAGCCGUAGCGAAUACCGAAUGGGUCGAUUGUCCCGGUGCAU